GACGAAGGUGGCGAGCGUUACUCGGAAUUACUAGGCGUAAAGCGUGGGUAGGUGGCUCAGCAAGUCUGUUGUGAAAGCUCCUGGCUUAACUGGGAGAGGCCAAUGGAUACUGCUGGGCUUGAGUCGUGGAGAGGUCACUGGAAUUCCUGGUGUAGCGGUGAAAUGCGUAGAGAUCAGGAGGAACACCAAUGGCGAAAGCAGGUGACUGGACACGUACUGACACUCAGCCACGAAAGCUAGGGGAGCAAACAGG
This 253-nucleotide ribosomal RNA is filed under the name uncultured bacterium. Its description in RNAcentral is "partial 16S ribosomal RNA". It matches the Rfam family "Bacterial small subunit ribosomal RNA", at positions 524 to 776 of the family's 1533-position model. The record is from RNAcentral.